Molecule: ribosomal RNA, 433 nt
Filed under: uncultured bacterium
Lineage: Bacteria
Description: partial 16S ribosomal RNA
Rfam family: Bacterial small subunit ribosomal RNA
Source: RNAcentral
AACGAACGCUGGCGGCAUGCCUAACACAUGCAAGUCGAACGAGACCUCCGGGUCUUGUGGCGCACGGGUGCGUAACGCGUGGGAAUCUGCCCUUCGGUUGGGAAUACCUGAGAGAAAUUUCAGCUAAUACCUUAUAAUAUCUUCGGACCAAAGAUUUAUGGCAGAGGGAUGAGCCCGCGUAGGAUUAGGUAGUUGGUGGGGUAAUGGCCUACCAAGCCGACGAUGCUUAGCUGGUCUGAGAGGAUGAUCAGCCACACUGGGACUGAGACACGGCCCAGACUCCUACGGGAGGCAGCAGUGGGGAAUAUUGGACAAUGGGCGAAAGCCUGAUCCAGCAAUGCCGCGUAAGUGAUGAAGGCCUUAGGGAUGUAAAGCUCUUUUACCCGGGAUGAUAAUGACAGUACCGGGAGAAUAAGCUCCGGCUAACUCCGUG